GAUGAAGGUAGAAAGGCUCUCAUUUGGGGCUUCACGGUCUCAUUUGGGGUUAUAGCCAGGCUCUCUUCACCUUUUUUUGUGGGGCGUUAACGGUGUUUCUAAUCUUUAGUGUUUCGUUCGCAAUAGAGGGGAGACACCGGUUCUGCAAAGGUUUACUUUGAAUAAAUUAGGGUGUUCAAAGCAAGCGAAAUCGCUUUGAAUAUAUUAGCAUGGGAUAAUGCAAGAGGACCUUGUCCUAUACUUUGUUGGUUUCUAAGGAUGCGGUA
Molecule: ribosomal RNA, 266 nt
Filed under: uncultured fungus
Lineage: Eukaryota; Fungi
Description: partial small subunit ribosomal RNA
Rfam family: Eukaryotic small subunit ribosomal RNA
Source: RNAcentral